This 70-nucleotide transfer RNA is filed under the name Dipodomys ordii (Ord's kangaroo rat). It matches the Rfam family "tRNA". From Rfam's summary of the family: Transfer RNA (tRNA) molecules are approximately 80 nucleotides in length. Their secondary structure includes four short double-helical elements and three loops (D, anti-codon, and T loops). Lineage: Eukaryota; Metazoa; Chordata; Mammalia; Rodentia; Heteromyidae. The record is from Rfam by way of RNAcentral.
GGGAAUGUGGCUCAGUGGUAGAAUAUUUGCCUAGCAUGCAUAAAGCCCUAGGUUCGAUUCCUCAGUACCA